GACGAACGCUGGCGGCGUGCCUAAUACAUGCAAGUUGAGCGCUGAAGGUUGGUACUUGUACCAACUGGAUGAGCAGCGAACGGGUGAGUAACGCGUGGGGAAUCUGCCUUUGAGCGGGGGACAACAUUUGGAAACGAAUGCUAAUACCGCAUAAAAACUUUAAACACAAGUUUUAAGAUUGAAAGAUGCAAUUGCAUCACUCAAAGAUGAUCCCGCGUUGUAUUAGCUAGUUGGUGAGGUAAAGGCUCACCAAGGCGAUGAUACAUAGCCGACCUGAGAGGGUGAUCGGCCACAUUGGGACUGAGGACCGGCCCAAACUCCUACGGGAGGCAGCAGUAGGGAAUCUUCGGCAAUGGACGGAAGUCUGACCGAGCAACGCCGCGGGGAUGAAGGAGGUUUUCGGAUCGUAAAACUCUGUUGGUAGGGAAGAACGUUAGUGAGAGUGGAAAGCUCAUCAAGUGACGGUAACUACCCAGAAAGGGACGGCUAACUACGUG
This 497-nucleotide ribosomal RNA is filed under the name uncultured bacterium. Its description in RNAcentral is "partial 16S ribosomal RNA". It matches the Rfam family "Bacterial small subunit ribosomal RNA", at positions 28 to 507 of the family's 1533-position model. The record is from RNAcentral.